RNAcentral lists this transfer RNA (70 nucleotides) under Photorhabdus cinerea. RNAcentral describes it as "tRNA-Lys". Lineage: Bacteria; Pseudomonadati; Pseudomonadota; Gammaproteobacteria; Enterobacterales; Morganellaceae. The record is from RNAcentral.
GAUUGUUAGCACAGCUGGUAGAGUAGUUGACUUUUAAUCAAUGGGUCGCAGGUUCGAGCCGAGCGAAGCG